RNAcentral lists this ribosomal RNA (1399 nucleotides) under uncultured bacterium. Its description in RNAcentral is "bacterial SSU rRNA". It matches the Rfam family "Bacterial small subunit ribosomal RNA", at positions 28 to 1381 of the family's 1533-position model. The record is from RNAcentral.
GACAAACGCUGGCGGCAUGCCUAACACAUGCAAGUCGAACGGAGUUUAAUUGACAGAAGCCUUCGGGCAGAAGACGAUUAAACUUAGUGGCGGACGGGUGAGUAACGCGUGGAUAACCUGCCUUAUAGAGGGGGACAACAGUUGGAAACGACUGCUAAUACCGCAUAAGGUCUCGAGACCGCAUGAUCUUGAGAAGAAAGAUGGCCUCUGAAAAUGCUAUCGCUAUAAGAUGGAUCCGCGUCUGAUUAGCUAGUUGGUGAGGUAACGGCCCACCAAGGCAACGAUCAGUAGCCGGCCUGAGAGGGUGAACGGCCACAUUGGGACUGAGACACGGCCCAAACUCCUACGGGAGGCAGCAGUGGGGAAUCUUCCGCAAUGGGCGAAAGCCUGACGGAGCAAUGCCGCGUGAAUGAAGAAGGCCUUCGGGUCGUAAAAUUCUGUCCUUAUUGAAGAGAGGUUCAUGUGUAAACAAUGCAUGAACAGGACGGUAGAUAAGGAGGAAGCCCCGGCUAACUACGUGCCAGCAGCCGCGGUAAUACGUAGGGGGCGAGCGUUGUCCGGAAUCACUGGGCGUAAAGGGCGCGUAGGCGGCCUAGUAAGUCAGAUGUGAAAAGUGAGGGCUCAACCCUUAGAGUGCAUCUGAUACUGCUAGGCUUGAGUACAGAAGAGGAAAGCGGAAUUCCUAGUGUAGCGGUGAAAUGCGUAGAUAUUAGGAGGAACACCAGUGGCGAAGGCGGCUUUCUGGGCUGAAACUGACGCUGAGGCGCGAAAGCGUGGGGAGCAAACAGGAUUAGAUACCCUGGUAGUCCACGCCGUAAACGAUGGGUACUAGGUGUCGGGGGUAUCGAUACCCUCGGUGCCGGAGUAAACACAAUAAGUACCCCGCCUGGGGAGUACGAUCGCAAGAUUGAAACUCAAAGGAAUUGACGGGGGCCCGCACAAGCGGUGGAGCAUGUGGUUUAAUUCGACGCAACGCGAAGAACCUUACCAAGACUUGACAUCCUGCUGACGGAUUGGGUAAUGCGAUCGUUCUACUUCGGUAGACAGCAGAGACAGGUGGUGCAUGGUUGUCGUCAGCUCGUGUCGUGAGAUGUUGGGUUAAGUCCCGCAACGAGCGCAACCCUUGUCUUUAGUUGCCAGCAUUAAGUUGGGCACUCUAAAGAGACUGCCGGUGACAAACCGGAGGAAGGUGGGGAUGACGUCAAAUCAUCAUGCCCCUUAUGUCUUGGGCUACACACGUGCUACAAUGGUCGGUACAAAGGGCAGCGAGACCGCGAGGUGGAGCGAAUCCCAAAAAGCCGAUCCCAGUUCGGAUUGCAGGCUGCAACCCGCCUGCAUGAAGUCGGAAUCGCUAGUAAUCGCAGGUCAGCAUACUGCGGUGAAAUACGUUCCCGGGCCU